AAAGAAGCCGAAAGGCUGCUUAAAACCAUCGCGAACCUAUCCAUCAGCGUUGCUUCGGCGGGAGGCCGGCCCCGGAGACGGGGACGGCCCACGGCCCAACACCUCCGGGUGCGGGGCGCCCGCCGGAGGUACGAAACUCUUAUAUCUCUGUGGAUCUCUGAGUAAACAAGCAAAUAAGUUA
RNAcentral lists this unclassified non-coding RNA (181 nucleotides) under uncultured Coniochaetales. Its description in RNAcentral is "sequence contains ITS1". Lineage: Eukaryota; Fungi; Ascomycota; Sordariomycetes; Coniochaetales. The record is from RNAcentral.